UAAUACGUAGGGAGCGAGCGUUGUUCGGAUUUAUUGGGCGUAAAGGGUGUGUAGGCGGUUAUAUAAGUCAAAGGUGAAAUCCCUACUUUCAAGGUAGGAACUGCCUUUGAUACUGUAUAACUAGAGAACAAAAUGGGGAAAUGGAGCUCUGGGAGUAGCGGUGGAAUGCGUAGAUAUCCAGAGGAACGCCGGUAGCGAAAGCGGUUUCCUAGUUUGCUUCUGACGCUGAAACACGAAAGCCAGGGGAGCGAUCGGGAUUAGAGACCCCGGUAGUCCUGGCUGUAAACGGUGAGUACUAAGUGUGGGGGGAGCAUUACCCUCUGUGCUGAAGCUAACGCGUUAAGUACUCCGCCUGGGGAGUACAGCCGCAAGGCUG
RNAcentral lists this ribosomal RNA (376 nucleotides) under uncultured bacterium. Its description in RNAcentral is "bacterial SSU rRNA". It matches the Rfam family "Bacterial small subunit ribosomal RNA", at positions 521 to 896 of the family's 1533-position model. The record is from RNAcentral.